GUCCAGGAAGAAUGCUCAGUUGUGUCAGCCAACUGUCAAGUAUCUGGGAUUCCAUAUCUCUGAAGGUCAAAGGAUAAUGGGGCCUGAAAGAAAAGAGGCUGUAUGCAAAAUACCAACACCUAAGAAUAGAAGACAAGUGCGAGAAUUCUUAGGGGCAGCAGGCUUCUGUAGGAUAUGGAUUCCCAGUUAUGCGAUACUGGCGAAACCCCUCUAUGCCGCUAUUAAAGGCACAGAACAUGAUUCCUUCCUGUGGACCAUCG
This 260-nucleotide long non-coding RNA is filed under the name Pelobates cultripes (western spadefoot toad). Lineage: Eukaryota; Metazoa; Chordata; Amphibia; Anura; Pelobatidae. The record is from RNAcentral.